Molecule: ribosomal RNA, 453 nt
Filed under: uncultured bacterium
Lineage: Bacteria
Description: partial 16S ribosomal RNA
Rfam family: Bacterial small subunit ribosomal RNA
Source: RNAcentral
GAUGAACGCUGACAGAAUGCUUAACACAUGCAAGUCAACUUGAACUUCGGUUUGGGUGGCGGACGGGUGAGUAACGCGUAAAGAACUUGCCUCACAGUUAGGGACAACAUUUGGAAACGAAUGCUAAUACCUGAUAUUAUGAUUUUAGGGCAUCCUAGAAUUAUGAAAGCUAUAUGCGCUGUGAGAGAGCUUUGCGUCCCAUUAGCUAGUUGGAGAGGUAACGGCUCACCAAGGCGAUGAUGGGUAGCCGGCCUGAGAGGGUGAACGGCCACAAGGGGACUGAGACACGGCCCUUACUCCUACGGGAGGCAGCAGUGGGGAAUAUAGGACAAUGGACCAAGAGUCUGAUCCAGCAAUUCGGUGUGCACGAUGAAGUUUUUCGGAAUGUAAAGUGCUUUCAGUUGGGAAGAAAAAAAUGACGGUACCAACAGAAGAAGUGACGGCUAAAUACGU